CUUCACAUUCUUCACAAAGUGGGAUGGCUAAACUAGGCAAUACUCCAAAUAUGAACAAAAUCUGUAUUUUGUCCUAUAAAUAUUCUGUCUUUGAACAAAGUAAUGUGACUCCAAGGAGAUUGUUCUCCAGCUCCCUAACCCCAUUCAGAAUCCACAAUAUAUUUUUGCACCUCCAGAAUUCUCCUAAUCCCAGUCCCUCCCCCAAAUACAAAAGUUAAGACCAAGCAAACUUUUCCAAAAAUAUCACAUACAUAUCUAAAUGUGUAUUCUGCCCACUCUUGAUACUAUUUAUUUUCUGCGCUGAGGCUUCUGCAACUUCUCCAGUCUUCUGGUCUCAAGAAAUCAUGAGGUUUUUUUAAGAUCCCUCCAGGGACCCCACCAUCCCCCAGCUACCUACUUCCAAGUUCCCAUCAUAAACUCCUCUGGCUGUGAGGUUUGGUAUCCAAGAUUUGUAUUUGGACCACAUAUUUUGGUUCAUGAGGAACAUUUUUAUAAUGACCUUUUGUGAUGAUGAAACAUACAUGAUUGAUAGUUGUAAGAUUUAAUUUCUGUAUGUAUUUGACAGGAGUCAAGAGUGCCAUGCCGCCCAAUCAAUGUGACCCAAUACCAACCUGGAGAUACCACUGCUAGAAAUAGAAUCUCAGUAAAUUUUCAUACUUUCUAAUGUAAAUAUCCACCCAUUCCUACAGGCAGUCCUAACCAAGAGGUACACCAGUGAAGACACUUCAGAUCCGUCUCCACGCUUCAGGCUGCUCUUGAGAGUCCAUUCUCAUGUAUAAUGGACAAGCCUAAGGUGGUCCCACUGUUGUACUUCCAGGCUGGUAAAGUGCUCAUGGUUGCAAACGGGUAGGAUAAGCUAAGGAAGAGCCCAGUCAGGACAGGCUACUACUGUGGUGUAGACAACUCCACAGAUUAAGGCCAGAGGAGACCUCCUGAAUAACACAGGACAAAAAUCUCUGACUAAUUUCUGCAUCAAACCCAUAACUUAUUUAAGCUUUUAUAGCAAACCUUUUAGAAAGGCAUCCAGUCUCUAUUUAAAGACUUCAAGGUAAUGGACUAUCCAUCACAUCAGUAUGGAAUGGCCUACUGGUUAGAGUGCAACAGGUAUUCUGUAUUCCAGACGUAGUUUCAAUGUCAGAAAUAA
Molecule: long non-coding RNA, 1144 nt
Organism: Gavialis gangeticus (Gharial)
Lineage: Eukaryota; Metazoa; Chordata; Crocodylia; Gavialidae
Exons: 2
Source: RefSeq, a predicted model, not a curated record